GUGGGGAAUAUUGGACAAUGGGCGAAAGCCUGAUCCAGCCAUGCCGCGUGUGUGAAGAAGGUCUUCGGAUUGUAAAGCACUUUAAGUUGGGAGGAAGGGCAGUAAGUUAAUACCUUGCUGUUUUGACGUUACCGACAGAAUAAGCACCGGCUAACUUCGUGCCAGCAGCCGCGGUAAUACGAAGGGUGUAAGCGUUAAUCGGAAUUACUGGGCGUAAAGAGCGCGUAGGUGGUUUGGUAAGUUGGAGGUGAAAUCCCCGGGCUCAACCUGGGAACUGACUCCAAAACUGCAUGACUAGAGUACGGUAGAGGGUAUUGGAAUUUCCUGUGUAGCGGUGAAAUGCGUAGAUAUAGGAAGGAACACCAGUGGCGAAGGCGACUACCUGUAAUGAUACUGACACUGAGGUGCGAAAGCGUGGGGAGCAAACAGGAUUAGAAACCCUGUAGUCC
This 449-nucleotide ribosomal RNA is filed under the name uncultured bacterium. RNAcentral's name for it is "partial 16S ribosomal RNA". It matches the Rfam family "Bacterial small subunit ribosomal RNA", at positions 354 to 796 of the family's 1533-position model. The record is from RNAcentral.